UGCCUAAUACAUGCAAGUCGAGCGGACAGAUGGGAGCUUGCUCCCUGAUGUUAGCGGCGGACGGGUGAGUAACACGUGGGUAACCUGCCUGUAAGACUGGGAUAACUCCGGGAAACCGGGGCUAAUACCGGAUGCUUGUCUGAACCGCAUGGUUCAGACAUAAAAGGUGGCUUCGGCUACCACUUACAGAUGGACCCGCGGCGCAUUAGCUAGUUGGUGAGGUAACGGCUCACCAAGGCGACGAUGCGUAGCCGACCUGAGAGGGUGAUCGGCCACACUGGGACUGAGACACGGCCCAGACUCCUACGGGAGGCAGCAGUAGGGAAUCUUCCGCAAUGGACGAAAGUCUGACGGAGCAACGCCGCGUGAGUGAUGAAGGUUUUCGGAUCGUAAAGCUCUGUUGUUAGGGAAGAACAAGUGCCGUUCAAAUAGGGCGGCACCUUGACGGUACCUAACCAGAAAGCCACGGCUAACUACGUGCCAGCAGCCGCGGUAAUACGUAGGUGGCAAGCGUUGUCCGGAAUUAUUGGGCGUAAAGGGCUCGCAGGCGGUUUCUUAAGUCUGAUGUGAAAGCCCCCGGCUCAACCGGGGAGGGUCAUUGGAAACUGGGGAACUUGAGUGCAGAAGAGGAGAGUGGAAUUCCACGUGUAGCGGUGAAAUGCGUAGAGAUGUGGAGGAACACCAGUGGCGAAGGCGACUCUCUGGUCUGUAACUGACGCUGAGGAGCGAAAGCGUGGGGAGCGAACAGGAUUAGAUACCCUGGUAGUCCACGCCGUAAACGAUGAGUGCUAAGUGUUAGGGGGUUUCCGCCCCUUAGUGCUGCAGCUAACGCAUUAAGCACUCCGCCUGGGGAGUACGGUCGCAAGACUGAAACUCAAAGGAAUUGACGGGGGCCCGCACAAGCGGUGGAGCAUGUGGUUUAAUUCGAAGCAACGCGAAGAACCUUACCAGGUCUUGACAUCCUCUGACAAUCCUAGAGAUAGGACGUCCCCUUCGGGGGCAGAGUGACAGGUGGUGCAUGGUUGUCGUCAGCUCGUGUCGUGAGAUGUUGGGUUAAGUCCCGCAACGAGCGCAACCCUUGAUCUUAGUUGCCAGCAUUCAGUUGGGCACUCUAAGGUGACUGCCGGUGACAAACCGGAGGAAGGUGGGGAUGACGUCAAAUCAUCAUGCCCCUUAUGACCUGGGCUACACACGUGCUACAAUGGGCAGAACAAAGGGCAGCGAAACCGCGAGGUUAAGCCAAUCCCACAAAUCUGUUCUCAGUUCGGAUCGCAGUCUGCAACUCGACUGCGUGAAGCUGGAAUCGCUAGUAA
This 1313-nucleotide ribosomal RNA is filed under the name Bacillus amyloliquefaciens. RNAcentral describes it as "bacterial SSU rRNA". It matches the Rfam family "Bacterial small subunit ribosomal RNA", at positions 45 to 1341 of the family's 1533-position model. Lineage: Bacteria; Bacillati; Bacillota; Bacilli; Caryophanales; Bacillaceae. The record is from RNAcentral.